Molecule: unclassified non-coding RNA, 287 nt
Filed under: Hevea brasiliensis (rubber tree)
Lineage: Eukaryota; Viridiplantae; Streptophyta; Magnoliopsida; Malpighiales; Euphorbiaceae
Source: RNAcentral
GGGAAAUGGUAGAAAAGUACUCAAAUAUAUUUGGAUCUUGGCCAUCAUACAUGAGGUGCAAUGGCAUAGUAAUUCUCUUCUUCAUCAUAUUUGCAAUGGCUAACAUAGUUGUGUUUGGGUCCACUUCUAGCAACUUGUCAAUAAUUCUUGUGUAGGCAUUCUCAUGACGCUUUUCAUCUGCUGCAAUGGUUCCACAUAUACGCGCUAGCACGGGGUCUCCACCUUCUCUAGCUAGCCUAGCCAUAUUACCAUGUGUUAGAAAUGUGGCUCGCUCUUGAAAUGACGUG